CCUACGGGAGGCUGCAGUGAGGAAUAUUGGUCAAUGGCCGGAAGGCUGAACCAGCCAUGCCGCGUGAAGGUCAGUGCCCUAUGGGCGUUAAACUUCUUUUAUCAGGGACGAAACAAAUGACGGUACCUGAUGAAUAAGCCACGGCUAACUACGUGCCAGCAGCCGCGGUAAUACGUAGGUGGCAAGCGUUAUCCGGAUUUACUGGGUGUAAAGGGCGUGUAGGCGGGAGAGCAAGUCAGACGUGAAAUUCCAGGGCUCAACCCUGGAACUGCGUUUGAAACUGUUCUUCUUGAGUGAUGGAGAGGCAGGCGGAAUUCCGUGUGUAGCGGUGAAAUGCGUAGAUAUACGGAGGAACACCAGUGGCGAAGGCGGCCUGCUGGACAUUAACUGACGCUGAGGCGCGAAAGCGUGGGGAGCAAACAGGAUUAGAUACCCGUGUAGUC
RNAcentral lists this ribosomal RNA (443 nucleotides) under uncultured bacterium. RNAcentral's name for it is "partial 16S ribosomal RNA". It matches the Rfam family "Bacterial small subunit ribosomal RNA", at positions 338 to 795 of the family's 1533-position model. The record is from RNAcentral.